AGACGAACCGGACGAACGUUAUUCGGAAUCACUGGGCUUAAAGAGUGCGUAGGCGGCUUUGUAGGUGAGGUGUGAAAUCCCACGGCUCAACCGUGGAACUGCGCUUCAAACCACAAGGCUUGAGGGAGGCAGAGGUAAGCGGAACUGAUGGUGGAGCGGUGAAAUGCGUUGAUAUCAUCAGGAACACCAGUGGCGUAGGCGGCUUACUGGGCCUCUUCUGACGCUGAGGCACGAAAGCUAGGGUAGCGAACGGGAUUAGAAACCCCAGUAGUCC
RNAcentral lists this ribosomal RNA (274 nucleotides) under uncultured bacterium. Its description in RNAcentral is "partial 16S ribosomal RNA". It matches the Rfam family "Bacterial small subunit ribosomal RNA", at positions 523 to 796 of the family's 1533-position model. The record is from RNAcentral.